RNAcentral lists this ribosomal RNA (257 nucleotides) under uncultured bacterium. Its description in RNAcentral is "partial 16S ribosomal RNA". It matches the Rfam family "Bacterial small subunit ribosomal RNA", at positions 521 to 776 of the family's 1533-position model. The record is from RNAcentral.
UAAGACGAACCGUGCGAACGUUAUUCGGAAUCACUGGGCUUAAAGCGCGUGUAGGCGGGUCGGCACGUCGGCCGCUGAAAUCCCCCGGCUCAACCGGGGAAGUGGCGCCGAUACGACCGACCUGGAGGGGGGUAGGGGGAGCCGGAACUUCCGGUGGAGCGGUGAAAUGCGUUGAGAUCGGAAGGAACGCCCGUGGCGAAAGCGGGCUCCUGGACCCCACCUGACGCUGAGACGCGAAAGCCAGGGGAGCGAACGGG